AACGAACGCUGGCGGCAGGCUUAACACAUGCAAGUCGAACGCAUCCUUCGGGGUGAGUGGCAGACGGGUGAGUAACGCGUGGGAACGUGCCCUUCAGUUCGGGAUAACCCAGGGAAACUUGGGCUAAUACCGGAUACGUGCGAGAGCAGAAAGAUUUAUCGCUGAAGGAUCGGCCCGCGUCUGAUUAGCUAGUUGGUGGGGUAAUGGCCCACCAAGGCGACGAUCAGUAGCUGGUCUGAGAGGAUGAUCAGCCACAUUGGGACUGAGACACGGCCCAAACUCCUACGGGAGGCAGCAGUGGGGAAUAUUGGACAAUGGGCGCGAGCCUGAUCCAGCCAUGCCGCGUGAGUGAUGAAGGCCUUAGGGUCGUAAGGCUCUUUCGUCCGGGACGAUAAUGACGGUACCGGAAGAAGAAGCCCCGGCUAACUUCGUGCCAGCAGCCGCCGUAA
Molecule: ribosomal RNA, 449 nt
Filed under: uncultured bacterium
Lineage: Bacteria
Description: partial 16S ribosomal RNA
Rfam family: Bacterial small subunit ribosomal RNA
Source: RNAcentral